This 587-nucleotide ribosomal RNA is filed under the name uncultured bacterium. RNAcentral describes it as "bacterial SSU rRNA". It matches the Rfam family "Bacterial small subunit ribosomal RNA", at positions 28 to 641 of the family's 1533-position model. The record is from RNAcentral.
GAUGAACGCUGGCGGUGUGCCUUAGGCAUGCAAGUCGAACGAGAGCCCUUCGGGGCAAAAGUGGCAGACGGGUGAGUAACGAGUAGGUAUCUACCUCUUGGUGGGGAAUAGCCAUCCGAAAGGGUGGGUAAUACCGCAUAAUCUCGUACUUUGUACGAGCAAAGCGCGUAACUGCGCGCCGAGAGAGGAGCCUGCUUGCUAUCAGCUAGUUGGUGGGGUAACGGCCCACCAAGGCGAUGACGGCUAGGGGGUGUGAGAGCACGACCCCCCACAAGGUCACUGAAACACGGGGCCUACACCUACGGGUGGCAGCAACCGGGAAUAUUGCGCAAUGGACGAAAGUCUGACGCAGCGACACCGCGUGUGGGAUGAAGCAUUUCGGUGUGUAAACCACUGUGGCGAGGGAGAAAGUUCUGAUAGUACCUCGCUAGAAAGCACCUGCUAACUACGUGCCAGAAGCCUCGGCAAUACGUAGGGUGCAAGCGUUAUCCGGAUUUACUGGGCGUAAAGGGUUUCGCAGGCUGACUAUCAAGUCUCAUCUUAAAGACCGCGGCUCAACUGCGGAAAUGGAUGAGAGACUGGUAGUC